UGGGGAAUAUUGCACAAUGGGCGCAAGCCUGAUGCAGCCAUGCCGCGUGUAUGAAGAAGGCCUUCGGGUUGUAAAGUACUAUCAGCGAGGAGGAAGGCGUUGUGGUUAAUAACCGCAACGAUUGACGUUACUCGCAGAAGAAGCACCGGCUAACUCCGUGCCAGCAGCCGCGGUAAUACGGAGGGUGCAAGCGUUAAUCGGAAUUACUGGGCGUAAAGCGCACGCAGGCGGUCUGUCAAGUCGGAUGUGAAAUCCCCGGGCUCAACCUGGGAACUGCAUCCGAAACUGGCAGGCUAGAGUCUUGUAGAGGGGGGUAGAAUUCCAGGUGUAGCGGUGAAAUGCGUAGAGAUCUGGAGGAAUACCGGUGGCGAAGGCGGCCCCCUGGACAAAGACUGACGCUCAGGUGCGAAAGCGUGGGGAGCAAACA
Molecule: ribosomal RNA, 427 nt
Filed under: uncultured bacterium
Lineage: Bacteria
Description: partial 16S ribosomal RNA
Rfam family: Bacterial small subunit ribosomal RNA
Source: RNAcentral